This 84-nucleotide microRNA precursor is filed under the name Bombyx mori (domestic silkworm). RNAcentral's name for it is "mir-2807 microRNA precursor family". It matches the Rfam family "mir-2807 microRNA precursor family". The record is from Rfam by way of RNAcentral. Lineage: Eukaryota; Metazoa; Arthropoda; Insecta; Lepidoptera; Bombycidae.
UUAAAUCAAAUUUGUAUGGAUUUGGAACGUUUGCCUACGUUUGCCGCUAGGGGCGCUGUUCUAACUACAUACAAUUUUGAGUUA